RNAcentral lists this ribosomal RNA (293 nucleotides) under uncultured bacterium. RNAcentral describes it as "partial 16S ribosomal RNA". It matches the Rfam family "Bacterial small subunit ribosomal RNA", at positions 335 to 644 of the family's 1533-position model. The record is from RNAcentral.
CAUCCUACGGGAGGCAGCAGUGGGGAAUAUUGCACAAUGGGGGAAACCCUGAUGCAGCAACGCCGCGUGAGUGAAGAAGUAUUUCGGUAUGUAAAGCUCUAUCAGUAGGGAAGAAGAAAGACGGUACCUGACUAAGAAGCCCCGGCUAACUACGUGCCAGCAGCCGCGGUAAUACGUAGGGGGCAAGCGUUAUCCGGAUUUACUGGGUGUAAAGGGAGCGUAGACGGCAUAGCAAGUCUGAAGUGAAAGCCCGUGGCUCAACCGCGGAACUGCUUUGGAAACUGUUAAGCUGG